RNAcentral lists this ribosomal RNA (405 nucleotides) under uncultured Thermoflavimicrobium sp. RNAcentral describes it as "bacterial SSU rRNA". It matches the Rfam family "Bacterial small subunit ribosomal RNA", at positions 355 to 774 of the family's 1533-position model. The record is from RNAcentral. Lineage: Bacteria; Bacillati; Bacillota; Bacilli; Caryophanales; Thermoactinomycetaceae.
UAGGGAAUUUUCCGCAAUGGGCGAAAGCCUGACGGAGCAACGCCGCGUGAGUGAAGACGGCCUUCGGGUUGUAAAACUCUGUUCUUGGGGAAGAAGAAAGUGACGGUACCCAAGGAGAAAGCCCCGGCUAACUACGUGCCAGCAGCCGCGGUAAUACGUAGGGGGCGAGCGUUAUCCGGAUUUAUUGGGCGUAAAGCGCGCGCAGGCGGUCAGGUAAGUCGGAUGUGAAAGGCUACGGCUCAACCGUAGAGCGGCAUCCGAAACUGCUUGACUUGAGUGCAGGAGAGGAGAGUGGAAUUCCCGGUGUAGCGGUGGAAUGCGUAGAGAUCGGGAGGAACACCAGUGGCGAAGGCGACUCUCUGGACUGUAACUGACGCUGAGGCGCGAAAGCGUGGGGAGCAAACA